UGGUUUUUGUGGGUAUGGGUUAACCACGAAUUCAAAUUUUCAACGAAAUACAAAUUCAUAAUAGGCUUAAUAUACAGAAAUUGUCAAAACCACGAAAUCAAAUAUCCACGAAAACGCAGGUUUUCACCAAACCACGAAAAUUGAUACCCACGAAAAUAAAUGAAUCCACAGUACUAGUAGACACUCCACAAGACAAGUAUAUACCAAACUAAAGACUAGUACUAGUAUACACUCCACAAGACAAGUAGAUACCAAACUAAAGACUAGUACUAGUAUACACUCCACAAGACAGGUAUAUAUCAAACUAAAGACUAGUACUAGUAGACGCUCCACAAGACAAGUAUAUACCAUACAAAGACUAGUACUAGUAGACGCUCCACAAGACAAGUAUAUACCAUACAAAGACUAAGACAGAGUAUAUAGAAGACAAGUAUAUAUCAAACUAAAGACUAGUACUAGUAGACGCUCCACAAGACAAGUAUAUACCAAACUAAAGACUAGUACUAGUAGAAACUCCACAAGACAAGUAUAUACCAAACUAAAGACUAGUACUUGUAGACACUCCACAAGACAAGUAUAUAGUAUACAAACAAAGACUAGUACUAGUAGACUCUCCACAAGACAAGUAUAUACCAAACUAAAGAAUAGUACUAGUAGACGCUCCACAAGACAAGUAUAUACCAUACAAAAGACUAGUACUAGUAACAGCUCCACAAGACAAGUAUAAUAUAAAGACUAGUACAACUCCACAAGACAAGUAUAUAGCAAACUAAAGACUGUACUGUAACACCUCCACAAGACAGUAUAUAAAAACGAUAAGUUAAAAAACUAGUACAUAGACUUAGUGGAUCGCUCCUACUAGAGUCCACAAGACAGUUUAUACCAAACUAAAGACUAGUACUAGUAGCACUCCACAGACAAGUAUAUACCAUACAAAAGACUAGUACAAGUAGACACUCCACAAGACAAGUAUAUACCAAACUAAAGACUAGUACAAGUAGACACUCCACAAGACAAGUAUAUAGCAUAUAAACAAAGACUAGUACUAGUAGACAUCCACAAGACAAGUAUAUACGCAAAAAAAGAUAGUACUAGUAGACGCUCCACAAGACAGUAUAUACCAAACUAAAGACUAGUACUAGUAGACACUCUACAAGACAAGUAUAUACCAAAAUAAAGACUAGUACCAGUAGACACUCCACAAGACAAGUAUAUAGCAUACAAACAAAGACUAGUACUAGUAGACGCUCCACAAGACAAGUAUAUACCAAACUAAAGACUAGUACUAGUAGACACUCCACAAGACAAGUAUAUACCAAACUAAAGACUAGUACUAGUAGACACUCCCAAGACUAGUAUAUAGUAUACAAACACAAAGACUAGUACUAGUAGACACUCCACAAGACAAGUAUAUACCAAACUAAAGACUAGAACUAGUAGACACUUCACAAGACAAGUAUAUACCAUACAAACAAAGACUAGUACUAGUAGACGCUCCACAAGACAAGUAUAUAUCAAACUAAAGACUAGUACUAGUAGACGCUCCACAAGACAAGUAUAUACCAUACAAACAAAGAUGUCGGAUUCAUCUGGUUAGAAAAUAUUACAAGUCUCAGAUGUUCAUUAUCACAUUAAUUCCAAUUCAUUAGUAUUCAGACACAUUUUAUCUAUUUAAAAACUAUUUCGUGAUCACCUUGCAAUUUUUAAAGAGAAGAAAUUGAAUUCAAAACUACAAAAGUUUCUUUGAACAAUGAAGUAAGAAAGAACAGCACAAAGCACGGCUACAUCUGUAAAAUGUAUUACAACACAUUCUAUAGUAGAUAAACAUGAAUAUUGUAAUCAAUUUCUAUUUGAUUCUAUACUCCCACACGUGCUGCACGUGCUUUCAUCUGCCAACACGCGCAUGCAUAUCUCAACAUAAAGACUGGUUUGCACUUAACAUAUAAGAUAUAAAGACCUGGGGUGCCUUCACCUGGCAAAUAUUUUACCCAUUGUUUUGUAAUCAGUUAUGUCAAAUCAUUUUUUAGUGCACCAAAAAUAAACAAACGAGCUCCUUAGGUUUAAAAAAAGAACAUUUAGAUAUGUCAAUAAUGUGGAGUAAUUUUAAAUGAUAUACAUAAAUAGGAAACAAUUUGUACGUAUACUAGAUAUGAUCAGAUAUGUAUACUACAAUCGUCUGGUUUGUUUUGUAUAUGUCGAUCAUCAGUGAGGCCCCUCAUGGGGGGGGGGGUCUAGUAAAUCAAAUAAUCACCAUUUUUUGCCAAAUUAAUCACAUAAUCAAUUAAAUAUUUGCUUAUCUUUAGUAUCAAAUAAUCAUAAACUAAAAAUACAGUCUAGGUAAUCAAAUAAUCAUGAAAUAUUUGGCUUAAUAAUCAAAUAAUCAUUAAAAAAACGGCCAAGUAAUCACAUAAUCAAAAACCCCAUGAGGGCCCUCAUCAGUUUUGAAAAAUACUCGUUUCGGGGCUUUUUAAAGCUGAUUAUGCAAUACGAGCUUUGUUCAUUGUUGAAGGCCGGACAAUUAACAAUAAUUGUUAAUUUCUGUUUCAUUCGGUCUCUUGUCGAGAGUUGUUUCAUUGACAAUCAUACCAUAUCUUCUUUUUAUAUCAUCAGUGGUCUUGAUCAGUAAAUCAAUGAUCACCAUAACCAAUUGAAACAAUAAAACUUAGUUAACUUUAUUUUCGUCAAAAUCUAAAAUCUUUUACUUUGGUUUGGCACUCGAGAACAUAAUGGACGGCGUCUUAGUUAAGUGAUCCACAAUUACAUUUUGUAAUUUAAUUAUAGGAUUCUUCUUGGGUAUGCACUGCAACUAUAUAUAUACGUAAGUCUUGUAUGCAAAGUAUCAAGAAUUCGAUGUCUUUCAUCUAGUCCUCAGGGGCUUUACCAUAAGAUUUAAUCUUUUUCUUUGACAGAUACGAUUGGAGGAUUCUAAAAAGAUUUACUAUAGUAGUUAUACUUUUUUCGAUAUUGGGAAAGCUGAUGUCAUCAAGAAAUUAGCUGAUAUUCUCAGUCUGUGCCUUGGAGGCAUCUAGUUAUCUUUAUUUUGAAGUCACUCAAUCUGAUAUCUGGAGAGAUUUAAUUUAUAAAAUAUUUUGAAAAUUUUCCAUUGUACAGUUUAUAACAAAAAACUUAUUUCCCGUAAUUUUCUUCAAUCAUUUCUGAUUUACCACCCUGUUUUAAGUGAAUAUAAAGCAAAUGAAUGUAACGAAAAACGGUGAAUCAUUUUCGUGGUUUUAAAACAGGCGUGUUAUCAUUAUAUGGUAACCUAAAAGUCCUAUAGAUAUAUAUAUAAUGUUACUGUGGCUUGAAACAUUCUUGCAUGUACACAUUUGUCAGGAUAUAAUUGCCAGAAGAGAAAAAAAUAAACAUUCUGGUGUUUGCUAAUUGUUGAAGGUUGUACAGUGACCUAUAAUCCUAUAAUUGUUGAAGGGUGUACAGUGACCUAUAAUUGUUGAAGGGUGUACAGUGACCUAUAUUUGUUGAAGGGUGUACAGUGACCUAUAUUUGUUGAAGGGUGUACAGUGACCUAUAAUUGUUAACUUCUACGUCAUUUGGUUUCUGGUGGAGAGUUGUCUUUCUUGACAAUCAUACCACAUCUUCUUAUUCUUAUAUUCUAUACGUAGCUGCUAAACCAAAUUUGCUUUAUAUAGAUAUAUGAAGAUGUGGUAUGAGACAACUCUCUAUCUAAGUCAAAAUUUGUAAAGUAAACCAUUACAAGUCAAAGUACGGUCUUUAACACGAAGCGUUGGCUCAGACAGAACAGCAAUCAAUAGAGGGCUCCAAAAAUUACUAUAUAUAUCUAUAUCGAUUCGUGUUUGUGAUUGAUGUACUUUAGUGAAGAUUUUUUUUAACCAUUUGAAAACCCCUGAACGGAACUGUGUAAUUAUUAUGUACCUGUCGUUAGUAAAUUACAAUUACUUGGUAGACAGACAUGCUAUUUUAACAUUUGUUACUAUUUAUUUAAGAUAAAGUUGUGUUUACUUUUCGAGAUACAAAUUGCGUCCCCAAUCAAAAUCAAUUUAUAAGACAAUGGAGAUAUCAGGUUGGUGUUUAUCAGUUCAACAUUUGUAAUUAAAAUGGAAGGAUUCGUUUAUUUUACGCUAAAUGCAUGUGUGUGUUUCAUGUAUUUAAAUACAUAGAACAUAUCUUAUUAAUACUAUUGUUACGUUAAAUCAAAUAAGAAGAUGUGGUAUGAUUGCCAAUAGCUGUCCAACGUGCAGAGCCCAAACGAACAGUAUUCAACAUUUAUAGGUAUUAACCGUAUGAGUAGCAACAAGAAAAACACAUAUAUAUCCACUAUUUUAAAUUUUACUUGAUGAUAAUGUUGAACAAAUGCAUAAAAAAAAAUAAAAUUGUUCAAAGAAGGUUCUUGGUGUGUUUUUUUGCAUAUUCCCCAUUUCCAUUCUCAAUUUUACUCUUUGACAUAUUCCCCAUUUCCAUUCUCAAUUUUUUAAAAGUAUUAUGGCAGAACAAGACGAUUCUGUGAGAUGAGCAUGUUAUGAUGAAUUAUGAUGUAAUGGUGUUCUGUUAUUAUGUUUCUUUCUUUUUUGACAGCUAUGCAAUUGUAUUGCAAUAUUUUGUUUCAUUUUACAACAGACUCAGUUUUUUAUUUUAUUUUGGAAGUUACAAUAGACAAAUUUGUGUUUCAUUGCUUUUAUAUUAUCCGCAUGGUUAUAUUGUCAGCAUCACGUGGUCCAUACGAACAAAGGCAGAGUGAACUUAACAGAUGUUUAGUGUUCUAAUGAAGAUGCUGGUUGGUCAGAUGAUCCGGAUGUCAGAUGAACCGGAUUUGUUUGUAGGAUAAGAAUUUAUCCGCUUUUCUAGACUUUAAUUCAGUUCAGACGACAACUACCCCGGAUGACAUCUGUCUAUUGUUAACGGUACAUUCCAUUGAUGUUGAACUCACAUGACCUUUUUGUAACUCGCUCUGCGGUCAUUGACUGCGUGAUUUGAAAAAUUGAACAGAAGGUUCUAAGCCACAACUUGUGACAAAUUUAGUCAAUGAAAAUCUACCUUUGAACAUAUACAGAUGGCCAAAAUGAAUCAUGAUUAAACUAGUAAUUUAUUUCAAUAAAGCUGGUCUUAUUUUAGAAGUCAAAAGGUUUUAAUGGCAAUGUCAGUCUUUUAAAUUACAUAUUCCUUUUUAACAAGGUCACAAGUUCCAAAGCACUAAUCCCAAGGGUGACUGGGGUAUAGAAAUAUGGUCACUUGGUCUUCUCCCGACCGUCAGUAAAACGCUUGCCGAAGUGGGGCGUCCGUUUGGCUGUGCGGGAUGUAUCAAGUUCGCAGUCACGUCCGGUCAGAAGGGGGACGUUAAAUCCGAUGCCUCGUGUAAAGAGAGUGCCACGCUGUUUGCACGUUAAGAACCCUUGCAACAACUCUUUGAGGGGUCCGUAGGUGGCCUGUUGCAAGGCAAAUUUCUGACCCUAUCCAAUAUACCCUCAUUUUCCAGUGGCAGUCCAAAUUUCCCUGACCAUCAUCCCAGAUGGCCUCUAUUGUAUCAACCUACUAUUGUAUUUAUUGUGAACUUGUUCUCGUCCUGAAUAUGCAUGAAAUAUUUGCCACUGGACGUUAAGCAACCAACAAUCAAUCAAUCAAUCCAAAGCACUAUUUCAGUUGAGUACAGAACACGAAUUUUCAAACAUACAUUUUCAGACACGCUAAUUUGUAUCUCUAUAGAAGUCGCUCCUCACUAUCCUACUACCUGUCGAUACAUUUAUUUUUGGCAUUGCACAAGUCAUGUCUUUUCUUAGACUAACUGUUCAUGACGUUAAAAUACUAAAUCCCUGGGAUGUGUUUUAGUUGAUUUUAGUCUCUGAUUCAUGAUUUUUUAUUAUUAAUUUUUUUCGACUUUUAACUAGCUGUCAGUAACUGCGAGUACUGUCAAAUCGUAUUUUCUUGUUAAUUCGACCUGUUGAUACUGUUUGUAAUGCUUUUUUGUUAUUUUAUAUUAAUAUGGAUCUUGUCUAUAUACCAGCUUUGAUUAUUUGGAAUAUCUUCUAAUUUUCAACUACAUUUGUAUAAACUUCAAGAUUUACCUGUAUUAUUAAAACCGUUUUUUUUUUCAAAAGUUAUUAUUUUCGAAGGGUUAAAUAUUUCGCAGUGGUGUCUUGCCAUGGCUUUGUUUGGACUUGUUUGUUUGCUUUUUGGCCUUGAAUGUUUGUCCCUAAUGUUUUAAUAACUGUACAUUUGCAUUCAGAUAUCGCAGAUCAAAUUUAUUCGUUCAUAGUGUGUUAAUUUACGUUUUUGAUUGAGUUAAGCUGAUUGAUAUUUUAUCUUGUGUUUUUCUAUGUUAUGAUGUUAUGCUAUUGUUUGAGAAAAAGGGAGAAGGUUUGGUACCAUUAAAACGUUUAAUUCCGCUGCAAAUGUUUGCACCUGUCCUAAGUCAGGAAUCUGAUGUACAGAAGUUGUCGUUUGUUUAUGUAAUUUAUACGUGACCGUUGGUUUUCCCGUUUGAAUGGUUUUACACUAGUAAUUUUGGGGCCCUUUAUAGCUUGUUGUUCGGUGUGAGCAAAGGCUCCGUGUUGAAGGCCGUUCAUUGACUUAUAAUGGUUUACUUUUAUCAUUAAAUUGCUAUUUGGAUUGAGAGUUGUCUCAUUGGCACUCACACCACAUCUUCCUAUAUCUAUAUAUACAGUGUGGUGAGAUUGGCGUAAAAAAUUGGAAAUAUCGAUAACGACGAGACUCCGCUUUAAAAGAUAAAUAUUAAGAGUAUACCCUUCAAUUGAAAAAAAUGAUACAAUCUUAUGAUGUUCUAUUACACCCCUGUCCUAGGUUAAAAGUGGAUUGGGCUCUAACACAAUUAGUUUUCCAUGUCUGUUCACUACAUGUUAUAUUAUCAUUCAGAUUUGGUUUUCUCAAUUGCUAGCGAAGUAAUUGUUUACUUUAAUAUAUAUGAAAAUGAUAUUAUAUUAAUUCCGUGCGUCCGAAUCUCUUUUAUCAUGAACUCUCAAACUUAAAAAAAUGAAUAAUCUUUGUUUUUUUUGUCUUAAUUGAUAGUUGUUUCAUUGGAAGUCGAACCACAUUUCCACAUUUUAAUAUCUUAUAUCAAAAUCAAAUUCAAACCGUUGUUAUAAAAUUUUGAGAUGUAUAUCUAUAUGACGUUCAUGAAACAUUUAUAUAACAUAAAGCUCGUGCAAGUUAAAAUAUAUAUUCUGUGAAAUCAGAGUUGUCUUUUAUCUAAAAUUCUCAAUUUACCUUUGAAAUAUUGAAAAGAUAUCUUAUUAAGAAAACAGAAGUUUAUAAUCAUCAAUAUCGUGGGGCUAUGUACUAAUUUGUUCUCAAUCUUUGAAAUAUGAAACAUCGCAUGAGUUUUACAUCGAUAACGGGAAAUUAACGGUGAAGAACUGGAAAUAUUAUAAGCUGAUUAACGGUCCAUUGACGGACAUUGAGUUAUAUAAAUGACCAAGCAGAUGUUUCUCGUCUCCAAACAAAAGAGUUUCUUAUUCAUUAAAACGUAUAGACUGUCAAAGAAUUAUCCCCGUAGUAAUAAGCGCUUUAAUCACGAGGACUUUGCUGUAAUCUGAAGUAAAAAAAACAAUAUGCUGAAUGACCAACCCAACACACUAUGUGGUCGUCAAUGACCGCAUAAUUCAAGUGCUAGAAUUUAUAAUAGAAUAUAUUCAAAAGAUGUAAAACUUGAAAUAACAGAACCUUGUAUUACAAUAUGUCAACAAUCUACAAAAGCUGAUAAUAAAUUUGCCAGGGACUAUUUUCACCGCAUAAAAUAAACAACAUCCCAAAUUCCUCCACAUAUGUAAGUUGAUGCACCUCGUAAACAAUAGAUGUCCGCAAUUAGCAACCUAGUAGAAAUAGCAAUAUUGGAUUUUCCUAAAAUUGUUUGCUUUAUUGGUGAUAUUAUUAUAAUACUUAAUGCACAUUUUAUUUCAGUUUUUAAUCUAACUGAUUUGUUAAUUAACCUGAACAGAACAUUAAUGUUGCUUUAUCUAAAAAUAAAGAUGAGUGGAGACUUGAAGUUUUAGUCUGUGAGCUCUGUUUUAUCCUAGUAAUAAAGAUAUAUAAUAUUUUGUCUCUUAAAGCAAUAUGUGCAUCUUCGUCUGUUUGUCACAUGGUCUGACAACACCGUUUCACUUUCUGUUCUGGCAAUCAGUACAUCAGCCAAUGAAAAUUCAGCCUUCAAAUUUUGGAAGGUAUGUAGUAUUCCGAUAAAACCGGAGGAUCACGAAAGUUCUUCAAAACAGAAAAUAUAACGGAACGUUUUCAUAUCCUUGGAAGCAAAGUUUGGACACAAUAUCUGUAUUUUAAUCAGAAAGGAAAGCCGUCACUCUUCAAUGACUUCCAAACUAAUCAGAAAGGAAAGCCGUCACUCUUCAAUGACUCCAGAAAAGCUGCAGGAAAUUACAGCUUAAAAAAAUCAAUUUCCUAGCUCCCUAUGUUUGAUUAUGUUUGAUUUUUUAAGGACAACAUUUUAUAUUUAAUUUUGCUCUUGAGUUUAAUCUGUAAUGGUUUUUUUUAAUGGAUAUUUUGAUUCCAGGAAGCAACAAUGAUAUAGCCGACAGUGUUUCUCAAUACCAACCUUAUUCGCGGAUCAUUGAACAUCAGUGAUUGAAUCGCAAUCUCGCAAUUAAGAUUAUAAUGGAAAUGUCUUGUUAUAUUAGCCUCGUCCUGAGAAUGACAUUAGUGGCGAUCAGUUUAGCGCCAUAAAAAUGUAGAUUACAUCUAUGAUUUCUUUAAAUAAUUUAUUCUGAUUUACUUCUAUCAGAGCUAUAUAUAUAUAUAUAUGUGAAAGCAAAUUUACAGAUCUAACAUUGUUGGGUUGAUGUUUAGACGAGUUGUAUAUAUAUAUAUAUAUAUAUAUAUAUAGAUACAAAGCUCUGGUUCCUAGUUCGGAUUUUUCUAUAUGUAUUAUGUAGUUUAGGUCCCCUGUUCAGCGUUUGUAAUAUGUUUUGGAUAUUCAAAUAUUUGGUCUCGAGCAUCACUAUGUACACAGUAUGAUGUUUUUGUUUUUGUUUUUGUUUUUUUUUUUGUUAUCUAAAUGAAAUUAAGGGAUCCAUUUUUACUUCACCAGUGCUUUUAGAAGCCUUCAUUCAGUAGAUAAUGAACACUAUGCAUUUUCUGUGUAUAUAUAAUGGUUUUCCGUCUGCUCAUAUUUGUUGGAAAUUCGUCGAUAUUUAGCUGACACAAAUCUAAUGUGUUUGAGAAAAAGCAAGCCAUUAGAGAUUAAUAAACUAUAGAAUCAUUUCAAUGUAAAGUAAUAACAAGACCAGAUUUGCUUAAACUUUCACAUAAAUCCAUCCUUAUAUUGAUAGAUAAACACGAACUCAAUUCCCUGGAGAGGUUUGCUGCUUCCCACAUUAUUGAGGAAAUGGUUUAUUGUGACAGAGGUAAAUGUGACACAUGAAUGAGAAACAUUUUCUAUGUAAUGCGUGCCGUUAGUUUUCUCGUUUAAAUUGUUUUACAUUGUCAUUUUGGGGCCUUUUAUAGCUGACUAUGUGGUAUGGACUUUGCUGCUUGUUGAAGGUCGUACAGUGACCUUUAGUUGUUAAUUUCUGUACCAUUUGGUCUCUUGUAGAGAGUUGUCCCAUUGGCAAUCAUGCCACAUCUUUUUUUUUUUUUAUAUAUUUACCUUACUUGGAAUAAUAAACAUGCUCUUCAACUUCCUCUAUUAAACCAUUUUGUAAUAAGUUUAGCUUAGCCUUUGACCACUUAUGAGUAACUUCAGGUUUCAAUGGUGAAACUGAAGUCGUUAUCAUGUUGAAAUAUCAUUGAAAUUCAGAUAUGAAUUACUCGCGAUAUAAUGUUUUCAUAAAGCUUUUCUGACCACUCGAUUAUUGUUUAAGGUUGGGGUUUUUUUUGGGGGGAGGGGGGAGGGGAUAAGGAAGCGCACAUUGAAGAAGUUGUGAUUGUACAAAAAGUCAUUGAUUUUCCUUUUGCAUUGAAGUGACUUAUAUAUGAAUGAGUAACAUUUUCAAUUUGAAAGCAUUAUUGUUCAGUUAAAUAAGCGCUUCAAUACCGAAGCACAGUACUUCUUGACAUAUGAUUAGCAGGAACUACAGCAAUCAACAAAUGAUAACACCUUUUUUUCUUCGUACAUGCGAUAGGCUAACUUUUAAUCAGAUUUAGUCUGUUAUUACUCUAUAGUUAUAUGAGCAAAGACACCACAUUUGACAAAGAACAGAAUCGACCUAGACUUCACGUAGGACUAAUUAAAGCUGAUUAAUACUAUGCCCGAAAGGCAACCAGUUUCCUGUCACUAUCGAAGUUUGUGUGUACUUUCAGUACAGAAAAACCUAAAGAAUAAAAACGACCCACGUGUCAUGACCACACUACAAACUAUCGCCACUUCCUCCUUGAUUCCAGUAACACAUGUCUUCAAAAACAUUAUGGUACAUUAAAAGAAACAAAUUGCUUGCGGGAUACAGUUUGAUUAACUAAUAACUCACUUGGACAGAGACACUCGGAAUCCAUUUUAAUUUCAAACGGGAAUUGCUAUAUGAAUGUGACAUUUGAAAUUAGGUUUGUUAGUCGUAAGGAAAAAUAAUAUUGAGACGAAGCCUACUUUUCCUGAACGUGCAACAUUUGUAGCACCUUCUUAAUAUUUAUAUCCUAAUUAUCUAAACGUUUGGAAUGCUCUUAACUGAACGAAAUUAUAAGUUGACCGAUAUUCGAUAAAUCAUCCGUACACGAUCCGUCAGCAUCUAUGUAAUUUAUCUUUAGUUAAUUAGUACCGACAUGUGCCAUUAUAGUUCUUCUAAAGAAUUAUGCGAUAUUAUUUAAACUUUUCAAAUGUUGGGUUCAAUCAAUUGAACAUGUAAUCAAUGUCUGUUUCUAACCUGCCCGGAUGUCGAUUUUGUGUCAAUCAUAGACAGCUAAACCCGUGUUAAUCAAGGCUGUCAAUAACAUGCAAGAUUCUAAGACGUCCGCAGAACGGAAAAUUAAUUGAGUACUUUGGUAUCCUGAGGAAUUUUUACUUUCAUUGGGGCUACACACAGGCACAUUUCUGAUUAUAAUCCGAAGUUGGAACAGUCAGUACAUUAAAACGUUUAAUCCCGCUGCAAAUGUUUGCACCUGUCCAAAGUCAGGAAUCUGUUGUACAGUAGUCGUCGUUUGUUUAUGAAGUUCAUACGUGUUUCUCGUUUUUAUAUAGACUAGAACACACCCGCGAAAUCGCGGGCAUAUACAGCUUGUAGACUGUUGUAGGAUGAUUUUUUGUAAAAGAUAUUAUGUAUGGAGAAUUUCAUAAAAGGUAUCAAAAGCCCUCUCCGUUUUUCCAAAGUCCGAUAUUUGUUUCCUUUCUGUUAAAUUCAAUUAUUUUCGUGUUUCUGGCCUCAGACUACAAUUAUUCUCCUUUGCUACAAUGCAUCUUUUGGUAAAUGUCAAAUCAAAUUAAAAAAUUGCACCGUUUCAAACAUGAAAUAAAUGUAACUGCUUAUAUAUAGACCAUUAUUAGUCUAAUAAAAAAUACUUCUAGGACAAUCCAUCAGUGUUUUCUUUUCUUUUGAGAGCCUUAUUAACAUGCCAAUGGUAGGAUAUGAAUCAUGUAUAAAUGACUAAGGCUAAUUUGAGGGGUGAUCGGACGGGUCCUGAUCCCGAAAUCCCGGGCUUAAAACCAUGAAAUCCCGAGAUGCAGAAUUUAAAGAAAUGCAUAUCCCGAAAUCGAAAAAUAUAUUCCCGGAUCCCGUAAGGAUCAAUUCCCAAAUCCCGAGCUUAAAAACACCCGAUCCCGACGCCCCGAAAAAGGUCCUGCCUACUUCUAAUCUCUACCUUACUUUCAUUUUUUGCCAAAUCACUAUUUUCCCUUUCAACAAUAAAUUGUUAUGCCCCAUUUAUGGGCAUUAUGUUUUCUAGUCUGUACAUCCGUUCGUUCAUUCGUCCGUCCGUGUCUGUCCCGCUUCAGGUUAAAGUUUUUGGUCGAGGUAGUUUUACUUAUUUUAAUAUAUAUGCAAGUGGUAUGACCCCUUAAAUAGUAAAAAUUUCAAUGAAAACAGUAGACAGAAUCAGGGCCGACUUUCUAUACUAACAUACUAACAUACUAACAUAGAAAGUCCCUGACAGAAUACAGACAGUCUCUAUAUAUUAAAGUAGUAUAAUCGUAGUUUACAUGUAGAUAUAUAAACGCGAAAAUAAUUGUCUUCUCUAAGGAGGUAUAAUAGUUGUGGUUCUUGCGAUCUAAACACCAUGAUAUGGAACGCGAAAAGUAAUUGUCCUCUCUAAGGAGAUAUAAUAGUUGUGAUUCUUGCGAUCUAAACACCAUGAUAUUGAGAACGCUCUGAAUGGCUUAUUUUUUUCCAUUUUUGUUAUCCAUCAUACGAUUGGUUGUCAAGUGACAUGUGUCAAAUGUUUUUCUUAUUUUAAUAUAUAUACAACUGGUAUGACCCCUUAAAUAGUAAACAUUUCAAAGAAAAACACUAGACAGAAUACAGAGAGUCUCUAUAUAUUAAAGUAGUAUAAUCGUAGUUUACAUGUAGAUAAACGCGAAAAAUAAUUGUCCUCUAUAAGGAGGUAUAAUAGUUGUGGUUCUUGCGAUCUAAACACCAUGAUAUGGAGAACGCUCUGAUUGGCUUAUUUAUUUUUCAUUUUUGUUAUCUAUCAUACGAUUGGUUGUAUUUGUGCAUCUUUAAAACCGGAAGUCUUAUCUAUGAAUAAAAGUCAGUCCGAUGACGGAAUCAUAUCCGGACUCCUGUUUUGUCGUUUUUCUCCCAAAAUAACUCAAUCUGAUUAAUCAUAAGAAUGGAUGACAAAUGUGACUAUGCAUGUUACCUAUAGGACACAGAGGCAUGAUGAUUGAUUUAUUGUGGAAGGAAGAGAAGCGACACCCAAAAUGAGGUCUUCUCGUUUAAUAGUAUAGAUGAGACCGUUGGUUUUCUCGUUUGAAUUGUUUUACACUAGUAAUUUUUGGGCCCCUUUAUAGCUUGCUGUUCGGUGUGAGCCAAGGCUCCGUGUUGAAGGCCGUACCUUGACGUACAAUAGUUUACUUUUAUAACUUCUUAUGUGGAUGGAGAGUUGUCUCAUUGGCACUCAUACCACAUCUUCCUAUAUCUAAGUAAUCCUACAGAGAUAUAUCUUUGUAUUUUUGAAAUAGAUAUGUUGAAAUCUCUUUUUUUGGUAUGCUGUCUCAUUGAGCGACAUUUAUCAUGCAUACAUCAUCAUGAUGUAUACAUGCAUAUGAAAAGAAAUAUCCGUAAGUUAAGGUCCUCAUGCCGCCAGUAUUUAUCAUACAGAACCAUUAUGUACGGUUCCGUAUAUUUUUGGAUUUCAUACCAGAGGGGGAGGACAGGGGUAAGGGAGACAGGGAGAAAGGGGGUAGGAGAAAGGAGAAAGGGGGUGGGAGAAAGGAGAAAGGAGAGGAAGGGUGGGAGAAAGGAGAAAAAGGUGGAGAAAGGAGAGAAAAUAAAAUAUCUCUCCUUUUAAAAAAAUUUCUAAUAUUUCAAGAAAAAAUAUCUCAAAAGGAGAUGUUUUAUUCUAAUGGGAGAAAGGAGAACGAGGGUAGGAGACAGGAGAAGAGGGGUGGGAGAAGGGAGAAGGGUACCCCCCUGUCCUCCCCCUCAUACCAGCUUUGUUGCAUGCUUCGAUGACUGAUCUAUGUGCAAGAGAAAGCGUUCUUAUUCUAUACUUGUUUUCUUAUAAGGAUUGUGUUCUAACUUUUGGAGUAUGACAGCUGAAUUUACGCUUUGAUCAAAAUAUAUAAAAUAUUAGCUCAUAUACAAAUAUUUUACCAUAAUAAAGCCUUUCAUUGAACAAAAAAAAAAUCGGACACGAGUAAAAGUACUCGCAAUUUAUGUCAUAAACAUCUUAUAAAAAAGAAGAUGUGGUAUGAUUGCCAAUGAGACAACUAUCCACAAAAGACCAAAAUGACACAGACAUUAACAACUAUAGGUCACCGUACGGCCUACAACAAUGAGCAAAGCCCAUACCGCAUAGUCAGCUAUAAUAGGCCCCGAUAAGAAAUGUAAAACAAUUCAAACGAGAAAACUAACGGCCUUAUUUAUGUAAAAAAAUGAAUCUUAGUUUGACAUACGGUCUUAAGACGUUUAUUUUUGACGUUUUAUACGACUUUAGACGUUUUUAUUUAUUGUAAAAAAAAAAGGCCUUGUUUUGGAAUGCAUCACAUUGAGAUCAAUCGUCACAACUCGGCCGAUUCCGUACCUCAUCUACGGAGAGAAACGGAGUCAUCCGAGGAUUGCCGAUAGACAUUGUCAUGUCACAUUAGAAUUUUAGAAGGAAAAAUUGACAGAGACUUUUCCCCAAUCAUACCCUCUUUUAACAUUGAUUUGUAGAAAAAAAGAUGAUUAUCUUGAUAUUCCCAAGUUUAUGGCUUCAUUAAACACAGAAAUCCUUACAAAGUCUUGUAACGCUACUAAUUAACCAUAGUGAAACGCCAUUAACACAUUAAUAUACGCGGUCCUUUAACCUGUCUUUACCAGGGAUCUGUUGAAUACAAAGACACAACUCGCUAAUGAACAAAUGUCAACGGAAACACAGAGCACGGCUUCUUAUUGUUGUCUUUUCUUUGUUUCCCAAGCAUGGACUUGUCUCCAAUCAAUAACAGUCUAAAUGAGAUAUUUGUUCAGACUCUCAGAAAAUAAUUCACGUCCCCCAUUAAGACAGUAGAAAGUUAGUAGUUAAAACCUUUCUGUAACCUUGAAUUAAAGCUACCUUGUUGGCGAUCGUUUCUUCAUCAGUAUAGUUCUCAGGGCUAAAAAAAAAAAGCCUCUUGUAUUGUUUAAUAUUGAGGUAAAGUAUUUCAGUUGCAAAAAGGUGAAAUAUAUUGUCUGCUCGAUAAAACCUGUUGAAGAAAACAAACAACAUGUUAGUUUAUUGUAACAGCCAAAUUAUAUAUUUCAUCUCCCAUAAAUCUUUGCACCCUACCGGAAGUAACAAUUUAGAAUAACUUGGUAAUUAUACAAAUUCUAUGAAUACCUGAAGAAAAAGAUGCGUAACACUUAUAAACAUUAUUAUCUAUUAACUAAAGAUGGGUGAUUUAUUAGCUUGCUAUCUGCACAUGAAUUUUACAGAGACAACUGCGGAGGGUUAUCAGGCAGUAGAUCGGUUGGUGUUAUUUUGCCAACUUUGAAGAACAAUUGAGUUAUUACUUAUCUUGCUUGUUAUCGAAGUAAUUAUCGUUUGUGUUUUGAUUCUGUUACAGCAGAUUUCAUUUAGUGUGUAUUCAAAGGUAAUAUCGUUGGUUAGCUUGCUUGUUAGCUGAACCGUGAAGUCAUUGUUAGGUCAGGUAAACUAUCCUCCUUUAAGAGUAGACUAGUCCGGCAGAUAACCAAUCUAUCUGUCUGUUGGACUAGGCUAUACCGAAAGAAGGGUAGUAUACCUGACCUGAUAAUGAAUUCACGGUUCAGCUAACAAGCAAGCUAACCAAAGAUACUACCUUUGGCUACAUACUCAAUGAAAUCUGCUGUAAAACAAUAAACAAUUACGGACUUCUGAGGAGGGUAUAUCCGGACUUCUGAGGAGUGUAUAUCCUCUACUCAAAUGGUCGUUAUUGUUUUAUUAUACAGAACAAAUAUUCUAUUUCAUUCAAAUUGGCCUGUGGGUAAAAAACGAACAAGUAUUAUUUUUCGAAGUUAUUCAGCGGCUCUGCUGAUUUGGACAAAUAUAUCCGAUUUAACUGUACACCACGUGAUCAUUUAUUUGCCAAUAGAUUACAUCAAUUAUACUGUGAGUUAUGAUAAAAUGUACUUGCUGUUUUGUGCUCUUUGGUUGGGUUGUUGUCUCUUUGACAUAUUACCCGGCCUUUUCAAUUCUAGGCUUUGUUUAACUGCUCACGGUUAUCUAAAUUGAAUUGAUUCAAGCGAAUUGAGAAAUGAUCUGCAUAUCAACAAUGCGACCACAAUAAAGAAGAAACAAUUAAGAGUGCCACUUGCAAAAGGGGCUUUUAUUUUUGGAAAGGAGUGCAAAUACAACUUGGAAACAGGCCGCCUAAAACAAUCAAACUAUACGUCCGGAUAUUAGACCCCGUAAGGGGGAUCUCUAACUGUCUUCUACCAGUAGAUCUGAUCUAGAAAAUUGAGAUAUUUAUAUGAAAUUAUACAAUAACCUAAAAACAGAAACAUAUAAAACUGCAGGAAGAAACUAAAUAUAAGUUUCUUGUCAUGGAUGCCAAGUUAGUAUGAUUGUAUCAGGAAAUGACAAAAUCGUUAAAAUUGUCGUUAAAUUUUUUUGGUCGUUAUUUCAGUUCUUCGUUCUUCAAAAAGUGUAAUUUUAUACACAAUUCCCUAGUAUUAGUUUCAAAUCAGAUCAGUGUUGUCAUGGGACUAAGGAAUUCACUUCCAAUGUCAUUAUUAUUUCAUUAAAAGAUAGUCGAUAAAUUUGACAUUAAAAUGUAUAAUCUCAAAUAAAUUGUGUCAGCUACAAGAAGAAAUAUUAAGUAAGGCUCAAAGGGGAGUUUUUCAGAACCUGAAAGAUUUGAGAUAUUCUUAUGCCAGUAAAUGGCAAACAUGAAAAUUAAGUAUCAAAGCACUGAUAAUGUGUAAAACUUGAUAAUGGUUCAGUAAGGACUGUUCAUCAUUUAUUGUUCAUUCCGUGUUAUAUUCUUCCUACAUACGCCAUCUCAUUAAACUUGCACUUUGUCGAAGAAUCUUAUUCAAUGGUAAAGAUACAAAAUUAUUUACACCUGAAAAAAUACAAGUAUAUAGCUUUCAAGAUUGAUAACGUUACUGUAGAAUAAGGUUGCAUGUAAGGACUUUACGUAUGGUUGUAUGUAGGUCACGAUUGACGUUACAAGAGAGUAGGGUUGUAUGAAGGUCAACGUUGGUGUUACGUAGGAUUGUAUGUAGGUGAACGGUGACGUUACAUAGGGUUGUAUGUAGGUUUAACAUUGACGUUACGUAGGAUUAUAUGUAGGUCAACGUUGACGUUACGGGAGAAUACAGUCGUAUGAAGGUCAACGUUGGUGUUACGUGGGGUUUUAAGUAGGUCAACGUUGACGUUACAUAAAAUUAUAUGUAGGUCAACGUUGGCGUUACGUGGGAUUAUAUGUAGGUCAAUGCAAGGACUUUGCGUAUGGUUGUAUGUAGGUCCCGAUUGACGUUACGAGAGAGUAGGGUGUAUGAAGGUCAACAUUGGUGGUACGUAGGAUUGUAUGUAGGUGAACGUUGACGUUACGUAGGGUUGAAUGUAGGUCAACGUUGACGUUACGUAGGAUUAUAUGUAGGUCAACGUUGACGUUACGUAGGAUUAUAUGUAGGUUAACGUUGGCGUUACGGGAGAAUACAGUUGUAUGAAAGUCAACUUUGGUGUUACGUAGGAUUGUUUGUAGGUGAACGUUCACGUUACGGGAGAAUACAGUUGUAUGAAGGUCAACGUUGAUGUUACUUAGGAUUGUAUGUAGGUGAACGUUGAUGUUACGUAGGUUGAAUGUAGUCAACAUCGACGUUACGUAGGAUUAUAUGUAGGUCAACGUUGGCGUUACGGGAGAAUACAGUUGUAUGUAGGUCAACGUUGGUGUUACGUAGGAUUGUAUGUAGAUGAACGUUGACGUUACGUAGGAUUAUAUGUAGGUCAACGUUGACGUUACGUACGAUUAUAUGUAGGUCAACGUUGGCGUUACGGGAUAAUACAGUUGUUUGAAGGUCAACAUUGGUGUUACGUAGGAUUGUAUGUAGGUGAACGUUGACGUUACGUAGGGUUGUAUGUAGGUCAACGUUGACGUUUCGAAGGAUUAUAUGUAGACCAACGCUGAUGUUACGGGAGAAUACAGUUGUAUGAAGGUCAACGUUGGUGUUAAGUAGGAUUGUAUGUAGGUGAACGUUGACGUUACGUAGCAUUAUAUGUAGGUCAACGUUGGCGUUGCGUGGGAGAAUACAGUUGUAUGAAGGUCAACGUUGGUGUUACGUAGGAUUAUAUAUAGGUCAACGUUGACGUUACGAAGGAUUAUAUGUAGGUCAACUUUGACAUUAUGUAGGGUUGUAUAUAGGUCUAUAGGUGAACGUUGACUUUACGUAGGGUUGUAUGUAGGUCAUUGUUGACUAUACGAAGGGUUGUAUGUAGCUCAACGUUGGCGUUACGAGAGAGCACGAUUUUAUUAGUGUCAAAAUUAACGUUACGAGAGAGUAGGGUUGUAUGAAUGUCAAAGUUAACGUUACGAAACAGAAAAGUUCUAUGUAGGUCAGAUUUGACGUUACGAGAGAGUAGGAUUGUAUUUAUUUCAGCGAUGACGUUACUGGAGAGUACGGUUGUAUGUACAUCAACGCUGACGGUUGUAUGUAGGUCAACAUUAACGUUACGGGACAGUAGUGUUGCAGGCAUCGUAAACGUUGAGAGAAUUUGCAGGGCCGUUAUAGUUUUAUAGUUUAUAUAUUUUGGUGAAAAUUCACACUUUGUAAGCGUGUUCUCUAUGGAUUCUCCGGACCAAGUGGAUAUCCGUUGGUGUUUUAGUUAAUCUCUUGACGUAGAUGCGUUGCCGUUUUAGUUUAUCGAAUCAAUUGGAGUGUAGAGUAAGGAUUGCUUUAUAAUAAUCAUUGGAUCGUGAAGUUCAUGCAGGCAAACGUUAUGGUUACGGUUGGACUUCUCCUAUCGAAAAGUACAAUUCAUACAUAGUAAAUCAAAUGUUUAUUUUUUAUUUUUCUUGGGAAAGGGCAAUACUUAAUAAACUGUGCUGUUUGUGAUGAUGCUAUGGCGCUACAUAAAUCUGCUGAAAUGGUCUGAGUUUAAAUAGUACUAUCUGUCAAAAGUUCAGUUUGUAUCAAUACAGACGGUUGAUACAGAAAUAAGACUCUCCUGUCGGCAUAAAAUUCAGAAAAUACAACACUUUCGUCGCAGCCGAGAUAAAUACGACAGUAUCAGGGGCGGAUCCAGCCAUUUUAAAAAGGGGGUUCCCAACCCAGGAUAAAGGGGGGGUCCAGCUAUAUGUCCCCAUUCAAAUGCAUUGAUCGGCCAAAAAAAGGGGGUUCCAACCCCCGGAACACCCCCCCCCUGAGUCCGCCAAUGAGUAUCUACUAAAGUUUCUGUCGGUAACAACCGAACGGCAAUUUUAGUGGACAUUUUUUUGUCUGUUACAAUCAAAAUGGGGUAAAUGCUCCCAAAAGUAUCUGGGUUUUUUUUAAUACGGGGAUUUUGCAUGUUUCUCAUACAAUUUGGCAAUCCGAUUCAAUUUUCUCUAAUUCAACAUACGACUUUAUAAGACAGGUUACAAAAUGUGUUUUCAGAUUAGAUAACGGAGAAUUUUGUAAACAAAGACUAAUGUCAUGUGUCUGUCUUUGUUAGUUUCACUGAUUCACAUCGCAAUCUCACUAAAAACCGAUCUCGCAUCUUUUCCGUUUUUAUGUGUCCUAUAGAAUUGCCCGCAUCUCAUCUUGCGUUGUAACACAUUUUAUUUUAUUUUAAUUUUUUUUUUUUUUUGGGGGGGGGGAUUGUUUCGGUUUCGAUUACGAUGCCAAUAUCGUACCGAAUAUUCAAUUUCUUUUUAUAGCUGAUUAUUACUCAAUGUUAAACAAUUGACUGCCGUAAGAUUCAGAAUUAUUUUUAUCAUUUUAAUUUCAAAAAAUAGGUAAUGAAUGCUAUUUUAAUUAAUUGCUACUUUUUUGGAAUUCAAAUAAAUAUUCAAAAUAAUGAACGAUUUUGGAAACUUAAAAUGUACGUUUUUUUAAAACCGCAAAUGGCAAUUGCAAAGUAUUAUUUCUACCUCUAAAUGACUAGUAUAGUAUGCAGUAGAAUAGUCAUGGCAAACAUAAGUCCUAAUACAAUAAAUGGUGUAUGUUUAAUUACAUUAGCACUGUGCAUGUACGUUUCAUAUAUAUCCUUUUAUAUGUUUCAUUACAAUUCUAUUUACGUAUCUCAUUAGGGAACUAAGGGAUGAAAUCGACAAAUGUCUUUCAUCAAGAAAAACCAAUACACAAGUCCACCUGUUUGUUUUAAGAGACACCAUUUUAAUCAAUAUUAACGUGUGGAGAAAAAUCGCAACCUACUAUGACAUAUUCGUAAUUAGAAAGAUAUUCCUUUUGAACCUGAUAAAUCUGACAUUAUUAUUAUUGGUAAAUAUCUACCAAUGGAAUAAACGUUUGGAUGACUCUGACUGACCUGUGUCUUUGAAGUGUUUUAGUGGUGGAAACAGCAACGGUUGAGGAUGUUAGUGAGGGUAAGUCGUUUAGUGUUUGAUAUUCAAUUCAAAAUCUUAAUUAUUAAAAGCGUUUUGAUGCACAAGAUUAACUCCAAAACGUUAAGGUAGACCUCUUUUAAAAAAUUACCCAAAAAUGGUAUCUUUGAAAGAACUCCUACAUUGAUUAAUUUAAAAGAUGUCGUGAUUCUGAAAUAGAUAAUAAUUUACUUAUAUGUAUAUGGAAAGGUAUAAUUGUCAUCAGUGUAUCUGUAGGAUAUCGAUUUUGGAUCCACAGAUUUUGUUAAUACUUAAGUAAUAUCAGAAACAUAAAUAUAAUAUGAUUGUAUAUCUCUGGUAAUUUAUAUACGUGCAGGAAUGUAGAAAUAUUUUGAUAUUUAUCUGAUUUUCAUUAAUAAUGAGGAAAAUUAAAGAAUGAAUUUAAAUUGUGUCAUUUGUGUGUGUAUGUUUGUUGUUUUCUGUUCUUAGGGAGCUACCAUUUGAUUUUUAGGGGGGGCUAGGAUGAAAUUUGAAAAAAAUAGGCAGGACAGGAGUUUUGAGUAAGAAAAAAAGGCAGGAUGAGCAACUUGUUAAAAAAAAAGGCAGGAUGACAAUUUGUGUAAAAAAAGUCAGGAUAACUAGUAAAAAAAAAGGCAGGACCGAAUAGAGUAAAAAAUAAAAAAGCAGGACAGAGAUUACAACUAAAAAAAAAGCAGGACAAAAUUUUUCAUCCUAGCCCCCCCC
This 20746-nucleotide long non-coding RNA is filed under the name Mytilus galloprovincialis (Mediterranean mussel). Lineage: Eukaryota; Metazoa; Mollusca; Bivalvia; Mytilida; Mytilidae. The record is from RNAcentral.